CUGAGUCACCUGAAGAGGAAGUGAUUUGCCACACAGCAAGGUAGUGGAGAGCCAGGAGCAAAGUAUAGGUCUCUCCGCUGCCCCUCUGGUGUCCUCGUGGCACGAGCUCACUUCACUGCUCUGUUCACAGUUCAGACAUCUGGAGCACAACUGUUUGCAGUAUGGAUGAAGAUGUGAGAGGAGAGUUCACCCCUUCACCUAUUACUCCCGACACAGUGGGGAUGAAGAGCAGAAUCACAGCUUUGUCCCCCUGCCCUGUCUCACUGCAGCUGCACAGGGAGCUCCUCUAAUCAUUUCUUCUAGAUUUUCUUGCAAGAACAGCUCCGCACUGUCCUACAGAGCCUCGUGUGUUACACAGCAACCACUUCAGUAGUUGCCUUCUAACGUACUAAGUAUUUUGCUAUUGCUACUCUGCUGCUCCUUCUGCUUUCUUCUAUUCCUUUUACCUUCUUUCUUUUUUAUACAGUUUCCCAUAUUUCUACUAUUUUAUCCUUGUUUCAUUUCUGUGUCGGGUUUUUUUUGUGUGGGUAUGUGUUGGAUUUUUCUUCUUUUUUGUAUUUUUUAUGCUUUUUCCCCACAAGAAAAGAGAUCUGUUCCACUCCAGCCCAAUUUCAGUCUCAUGAUGGUGAGCUGGAGAUACGGCAGAAAGCAUUGGCAUUGCUCCUGUCUGGCUAUGCAGGGAGAGGACUAGGGCUUUGCUGCUGUGUGGAUUUCCCAGAAGUAAUACUGGAGCUGGUCCAACAAUUUACAGUAAAAGGACUGCAGUUCUAA
Molecule: long non-coding RNA, 771 nt
Organism: Numida meleagris (helmeted guineafowl)
Lineage: Eukaryota; Metazoa; Chordata; Aves; Galliformes; Numididae
Exons: 2
Source: RefSeq, a predicted model, not a curated record